This 23-nucleotide ribosomal RNA is filed under the name Prorodon ovum. RNAcentral's name for it is "partial 18S ribosomal RNA". The record is from RNAcentral. Lineage: Eukaryota; Ciliophora; Prostomatea; Prorodontida; Prorodontidae.
GUAGGUGAACCUGCGGAAGAUCA